UUACCGAAAUGAAAAACAGCAAAACUUAAAUGGGUGAAUUUUGGAAUUCAGCCUAAAAUCAAAUUAAAAUACAAUAAACUGUCUUCCCACCGCCUCCUGCAUAACAGUAAAAUAGUUAAUAGUUUUUAUUCUAAUUCUUUAUGUAUACACAACAUUCGAAAUUGAAAACCUAAACUUCAACGCCUGCAUAAAAUAAAGCUCAAAUUCUCAACGAAAAUGGCGAUCUUUCAAGCAAGGACCUGGCUUUCCAGAAGUUUUUCAACUCUCUCUUCCCAUCCAUUGCGCGUUUGUGUCGUUGGAAGUGGACCCGCUGGCUUCUACACCGCUGAAAAGAUGCUGAAGGCACAUCAAGAAGCGCAAGUUGAUAUCAUCGAUAGGUUGCCAACGCCGUUUGGACUAGUACGCUCCGGUGUAGCACCUGAUCAUCCUGAAACAAAGAUUGUCAUCAACCAGUUUUCUAGGGUUGCACGCCAUGACCGGUGCUCAUUUUUUGGAAAUGUGACGCUUGGGUCUUCAGUUUCCCUUUUGGAGCUUCGUGAGUUGUACCAUGUGGUUGUUCUUGCCUACGGUGCUGAAAGUGACAGAGCGCUUGGUAUUCCAGGAGAAGAUCUGGUUGGCAUUCAUUCAGCCAGAGAAUUUGUUUGGUGGUAUAAUGGGCACCCAGAUUGCAAAAACCUAGAUCUCGACUUGAAGAACACUGAUACAGCUGUCAUUCUUGGCCAGGGUAAUGUAGCUCUUGAUGUAGCACGUAUCCUUUUACGACCAGCAACAGAAUUGGCAACAACUGAUAUCGCAAGUCAUGCUUUGGCUGCUUUAGAGGAGAGCUCUAUCAGGAAGGUGUAUUUGGUUGGAAGACGUGGACCAGUCCAAGCAGCUUGUACUGCUAAAGAGCUACGUGAAGUUCUUGGUAUUAAAGAUCUUUGUAUUCAUUUACAGGAGGCUGAUCUUCUUAAAACCCCGAAAGAUGAGGAAGAGAUAAAGAACAAUCGAAUUCAGAGGAGGGUUUAUGAGUUGCUCUCUAAGGCAGCCACCACAGGACCUUCCCAUCCAAGAUCCGGUCAACGUGAACUCCACUUUGUUUUCUUCCGGAAACCAGAUAGAUUUCUAGAGUCAGAUGAAAGAAGAGGCCAUGUUUCUGGCGUGCACUUUGAGAAGACAGUUCUUAAAGAUGUUGGUGAUGGAAAACGUGUUGCAGUUGGUACUGGACAAUUUGAAGACCUUGAAUGCGGGAUGGUGCUAAAGAGCAUUGGUUACAAAUCAGUUCCAGUUGAUGGUUUACCCUUUGAUCAUCAGAAAGAGGUGGCUGGUGCUCUGGAAUUGUUAAAGGACUUUACAGGGUGGAUUUGUGAAAAAGCAUCAGAAAUGAUUGGACUAAAUUUGCUUCAUAUACACACUUUGAGGUGGGUGAUGGCAAGUGUAAAUAGCAAUUGAAUUUUCAGUUGCUUGAGUUAUUCGGAUUUACUAGAGAUACAAGGCCUUGAUUUUGGAUUAUAUGGAGUGGGUCAAAGGUCAGCAACAUUGGAAGCCAGUGUUUAUCAGAGAGGCUCAAGAUUGGAAGAGAGAAUCCUUGGCACAUGUCUUUGAUGAUUAAUAUGCAGUAGGUCACCUCCACAGGAGGUGAUAAGUUGGCGUGGCUUCCAUCACCAACAAAAGGAUUCCAGGUUAAAAGGUUUUAUAGAGAGAGCUCCAAGCAAGAAAUGCGUGGUUCCCAACAUCAGAGGUCGAGUUCUACAUGAUACUUCAGGAGAUCCAACUCUGCUUGAGGAGGGAUUGUAUGUAUGUGGAUGGUUGAAAAGAGGACCAACUGGGAUAAUUGCUACAAACCUCUAUUGUGCCGAGGAAACCGUUGUGAGUAUAUCUGAAGAUCUUAAUCUAUUGGCAUCAAAAGCCAGCUUGCCCAAGCCAGGCAGAGAGGGUCUGCUCCAUUUAUUAGAUAACCGGAAAGUCAAAUUCGUGCAGUUCAGUGCCUGGGAAAAGAUAGACUCUACAGAAACUAGGCUUGGGAGUCUUAAAAACAAACCCAGGGAAAAAUUAACUACAUGGGAGGAGCUACUCAAAGUUGCCAGGGAAUAAAUCAACACCCUUAUCGUAGGGAUUUUUUUUUCUUCUCUUGCUUGAAUAGCCUUGGCACCCCCCCACCCCCUUUUCUCUCUGUAUCACAGAAAAUAGAAUAAAGAAAAAAUUAUAGAGAAGAAAUUAUUAUUUUUCCUGUUGGAAUGCCCUGUUGAGCAUCAUGUUUGAGCCAUGAAUUCUUUUGGGCCAAAAAAAUUAUAGAGGGAUUCAUUCUUUUUACCUUCUCAUUUUGUUGCUGACUUAGGAAGUGCUGCUGUCGGUUAAACUGACCUAUUUGCAUGUCAACUGCAGCAUCACAUACACAAUCUAGAGAGAGUAGUUAGAAACUUAGAAUUACAUGAAGUCGUGAUGAAAUAAUAGAGAAAAUAAUGGCUGCUGGAAGAGUUGCGAUUAUGGAAUAAAACUCCCAGGUUUCUGUGUA
Molecule: RNA transcript, 2494 nt
Organism: Quercus lobata
Lineage: Eukaryota; Viridiplantae; Streptophyta; Magnoliopsida; Fagales; Fagaceae
Gene name: Pyridine nucleotide-disulfide oxidoreductase family protein
Exons: 14
Source: RefSeq, a predicted model, not a curated record